This 294-nucleotide ribosomal RNA is filed under the name Clostridioides difficile. RNAcentral describes it as "partial 23S ribosomal RNA". It matches the Rfam family "Bacterial large subunit ribosomal RNA", at positions 1 to 295 of the family's 2925-position model. The record is from RNAcentral. Lineage: Bacteria; Bacillati; Bacillota; Clostridia; Peptostreptococcales; Peptostreptococcaceae.
GGUCAAGUUAUUAAGGGUGCAGGGCGGAUGCCUUGGCACUAGGAGCCGAUGAAGGACGUGAUAAGCUGCGAUAAGCUUCGGGGAGUUGCACGUAAACUUUGAUCCGAAGAUUUCCGAAUGAGGAAACUCACUUAGAGUAAUGUCUAAGUAUCAUUAAGUGAAUACAUAGCUUAAUGAGGGGAACUCAGGGAACUGAAACAUCUAAGUACCUGAAGGAAGAGAAAGAAAUUCGAUUCCGUAAGUAGCGGCGAGCGAACGCGGAUUAGCCCAAACCAAUAAAGUUUUCUUUAUUGG